RNAcentral lists this long non-coding RNA (562 nucleotides) under Ananas comosus (pineapple). RNAcentral describes it as "long non-coding RNA (ACOM_LNC035175)". The record is from RNAcentral. Lineage: Eukaryota; Viridiplantae; Streptophyta; Magnoliopsida; Poales; Bromeliaceae.
CAUGAUUAAACAAUGACAUUGAAUCGGGAAAUGACAAUCACUACUAGAUAGGCUUAGUAGUUUGAUUACUUUGACAUGCUUAUAGCAUAGUGUUGGGACUUGUAGUAUACAUGAUAGUCUUAUUUGUUGCAUCAUAGUAUACUUGGCUGCCAUGAUAGAGCAUAUUCAUCAUACAUUGAUAUAGUGGAUCAUGAUACCUACUUGCUCGUUAUGUUUGGACAUAUUAGUCAUGCUUGGACAUUCUUCAUUUUGAUAAAGUAAAUAUACAACACAUUGACAUCAUAUUUAUUUGCGACAUAGUAGCUUAGCAUUUUAAUUAUGCUUUUAUAAAUGCAAUCUAUUUAUUAUUAUUGUUGCUUUUUGGACUUACCCUUUUCUUUUGGGGCCUAGUGGUGCAUUGAGCUGAGGUCAGUAAUUGCCCACUGGGAACUAUAAAUUAUAGUUCUCACGCCCUCUGUUUCAUGUUUUUAUUUCAGAGCCUUCCACGCCGGGAGAGGCUAGGGACCGCGGAAAGGGUAUCGCCUCGAGCUAGCUUGCUAUCGAGGGAUGCGUUGAUAGGUGG